This is a non-coding RNA of Rhizobium etli 8C-3, 124 nucleotides long. The record is from Rfam. NCBI's taxonomy places the organism in Bacteria, Pseudomonadati, Pseudomonadota, Alphaproteobacteria, Hyphomicrobiales, Rhizobiaceae.
AUGAGCUGAAGCGCUGCACCCUCUUAAGCGGCUUCGGCCCGACGGGCAGCACUUCUCCUCCCAGGCUGUCGGUCACUAUCGAAGCCCGGCGCAUCUCUCCCCCCCCCCGCGCCGGGCUUCUGCC